CUAGCAUUACACGAUUGCAACUAUGGCAAAGGCGGUGAAGACUCCAUUAACACUUGACUUCGUUCAAGCCAUAGGCAAAGUACAGGAAGGUUGGAUCAGUGGCACCAUCCUUAUAGUAUGCAAACACCAGGCUACCAUCAUCAUGCAUGCUCUCACCCACAAAACUGCAACACAAUUACUCAAAUCGUAAGAAACAAUAAUGGAUUCUAAAUCAAGUUUAAUUACAGAUAAUCGGAGUAAGAUAGACAAGAGUUGCAUUACAAUUGGAAAUCUUUAAUCUUCGAAAGCAAAUACUUGGUUGCUCCCUCUAUGUUCUUCUUGAACGACUCUUGCUUCUCUGGCUCUAAUUUGGGUGUCAAGUUCUUGAUGUACCUCUUCAUGAAGGUAACAAACUGUUUCUUGUCAAAAGCAGGUUGCUCCUGCAAAUCACACCACCCGCAAAUUUUAGAUGAUAGCAUCAAAAUAAUUAAGCUGUAAAUCAUGGAAAGCAUGUGUUGUUGAUUUACCUGAAGUCUGAAAGUGUCGACAAUGUCGACAACCUUAACGGCCUGGUCAUCAACACCUUCAUCUUCAUCACCACCUUCUGCUGAAGGGUUAGCCCCAAUGUCUACAUUGACAGCUCCUUGGACAACCCACUGCAAAUCAAUCCGAAUAUGUUAGUUUAACUCGUGAAAACUAGGAGUGAGCAAUUAAUCAGUUUGGUGGAUUUAAUUUGAAAAAAUUAAUAAUCGAACUAAUCAACUUUCAUUUAAUAGUAAUCGAACUGAUAGAAAAUUUUUAAAUAACGGAUUAUAAUUGAUCCAAAAUUUUUAAAUAAUUGAUCACAACUGAUCCGACCAUAACCGAUUCGAUCGGUUCAUUUAUUAAUUUUAUGAUCCUAAAACCGAUUGAUUUAACCAUAACCAAUUUAGUUGAUCUAAAAAAUCCACUAUAACCAAAUCGGAUAAACCAAACUGAAUUGAUAUUUUUCAUCGGUUUCAAUCGCUUAAAUCGGUUUGAACCGAUUUUUGCUCACCUCUGGUGAAAACAUGACAAACAAAGACAGAUCAUGUUUGUUUCAAUAAACCCACAAUUGAAAACACAAGAAAAUAAAGAAGGAAAGACUCCGACCUUUCCUUCUACUUCCCAUAACAUUCCAUUCUCGAUUUCCUUGUAUGGGAAAGAGUCUGAGAGGAGCUCAUCACCUGAAACUCAUCAACAAGAACUUAAAAUUUGAUAACUAACAAUCAAAUCAAAAAUCAAAAAUCAAAACAUCAACCAAACAAAAAGAAACCCAAAAUUUCAAGAUACAUAAAUACAAUUAAAAGAAAAAUAAAUUCAAUAAGCAAAAGGACAAAACAUACAGAUCUUGGAACCAAUAAGCACAGCAGCAAAGAGAUCAAUUGAAGACGAAAAAAAUUUUAAAAAAAUUUACCUGUGAGGAUAUCCUGAUAAACUAACAUAUUUGCUGAAUAUUAAAUUAUUAAUUGAUUAUUUUCUCUCUGUUUUUGAACUUAAAUUUCGAUUUCUAUGAUUUAUUGAAGAGAGAGAACCAGAGAG
This 1539-nucleotide long non-coding RNA is filed under the name Durio zibethinus. RNAcentral describes it as "long non-coding RNA (DZIB_LNC001452)". Lineage: Eukaryota; Viridiplantae; Streptophyta; Magnoliopsida; Malvales; Malvaceae. The record is from RNAcentral.